RNAcentral lists this ribosomal RNA (497 nucleotides) under uncultured bacterium. RNAcentral describes it as "partial 16S ribosomal RNA". It matches the Rfam family "Bacterial small subunit ribosomal RNA", at positions 28 to 507 of the family's 1533-position model. The record is from RNAcentral.
GAUGAACGCUGGCGGCGUGCCUAAUACAUGCAAGUCGAGCGAACAGACGAGGAGCUUGCUCCUCUGACGUUAGCGGCGGACGGGUGAGUAACACGUGGAUAACCUACCUAUAGGACUGGGAUAACUUCGGGAAACCGGAGCUAAUACCGGAUAAUAUAUUGAACCGCAUGGUUCAAUAGUGAAAGACGGUUUUGCUGUCACUUAUAGAUGGAUCCGCGCCGCAUUAGCUAGUUGGUAAGGUAACGGCUUACCAAGGCAACGAUGCGUAGCCGACCUGAGAGGGUGAUCGGCCACAAUGGAACUGAGACACGGUCCAGACUCCUACGGGAGGCAGCAGUAGGGAAUCUUCCGCAAUGGGCGAAAGCCUGACGGAGCAACGCCGCGUGAGUGAUGAAGGUCUUAGGAUCGUAAAACUCUGUUAUUAGGGAAGAACAAAUGUGUAAGUAACUAUGCACGUCUUGACGGUACCUAAUCAGAAAGCCACGGCUAACUACGUG